CCAACGGCCCUCUUUAGGGCCACAGUUGAAACUCGAAUACAUCUUC
Necator americanus (New World hookworm) is the source of this 46-nucleotide non-coding RNA. Lineage: Eukaryota; Metazoa; Nematoda; Chromadorea; Rhabditida; Ancylostomatidae. The record is from Rfam.